CACAUUUUCUUUGAAAUAUUCAAAAUAUAUUCAAGUUAUUUUCAAAACUGAAGUUCCAAAUGGCCAUUUGUCUUAUAAUGUUAUUUUCUAAUGAAAAUCUUGGCCAUGACAGUGAGUGGUAUUUUACUGAGGUGUAUGUGUGGUAUGUUCUAGUUGGUAUCACCUAAGUUCAGAAAAGGUGUUGAACACAUCUCUGAAUUUUGCCUGCCAUCUAAUGUAUAUAAAUCUGCUUUUAAUCCCCAAAAAGAAUAUUCAUACUUUGUUUUGUUAGAAAAUUAUCAAAAGUUGGUUGUAGAAAUUCUGUUUAUGAGAACUGUCUAAAACUUGCAAAUCAUCUAUUCCCUUAGACACUUAACUUUAUAUUUAAAUAAUGGACCGCUAAAGUUUGGAAUAGAAUUUUGUUUGCUAAACCAUCCCUUGGGGCUAUAUCUGUAUUAAAUUUGAGAAGGUUUAAUUUUUAGAAAAUCUAACAAGUUUUUACCAUAAGCAUGUUGUCAGAUUUUGCUUAUGAUAUCCCAGUGUCCUUUUUAUGAGGACCAGGAGAGAAGCUUCUUUGAGACUUCAUAUCACAAAUAGCUGGAAUUAACCUAAGAAACUAGUAUCUUUUUACUGUGGGACACUAUGGAACUUACAACUACACUUUUCGCUAUUGUUUGACUGCUAGAAAGAAAAAAGUCAAAUCUGCAAGCCAGUUCUGGCAAAAUUCUUAGAGCAGAUAUUUUUGAUACAAUUUUUACCUCCAACUUUGCUUUCCUCUGUCCUACCCCCAUUCAUCUUCCUCCCUUAUUCACCAUCAAGUUCAAAAUGUGUAUUUUUUGUCAGCUCUGCUAAUUCUGUCUGGAGUGAGCUGGGAGGUAAUUAACUAGUUAAUAAAUUAAUUAUUAGCUACAUUGAGCAACAUGCUUUUUUCUCCUCUUCAGUCCAGUGCUUGCUUUUAUUUACUCCUCUCAUCUAUUCAUGUCUUCUUGUAAUAUGGCUACAGCUUGCCCACCUGCUUCGGCGUGUCUGUCAGGACAAUCUGAUGGGAGUGACCAGUCCCACAAAGCCUGGAACUAGAAGCUGCUGGGCCCUUUCCCAAUGUGGUCACCAACUCAGUUAUCAGCCUUUCUUGAAAGAACAACAUUGAAAUAAAUCCUCAAGGAACAGAGAGAGCCA
This 1155-nucleotide long non-coding RNA is filed under the name Sus scrofa (pig). RNAcentral's name for it is "lncRNA (ENSSSCG00070025925.1)". The record is from RNAcentral. Lineage: Eukaryota; Metazoa; Chordata; Mammalia; Artiodactyla; Suidae.